This 254-nucleotide ribosomal RNA is filed under the name uncultured bacterium. Its description in RNAcentral is "partial 16S ribosomal RNA". It matches the Rfam family "Bacterial small subunit ribosomal RNA", at positions 524 to 776 of the family's 1533-position model. The record is from RNAcentral.
GACAGAGGGUGCAAACGUUGUUCGGAAUUACUGGGCGUAAAGGGCGCGUAGGCGGUCAGCACAAGUCAGUUGUGAAAUCUCCGGGCUUAACUCGGAAAGGUCAACUGAUACUGUGCGACUAGAGUGCGGAAGGGGCAACUGGAAUUCUCGGUGUAGCGGUGAAAUGCGUAGAUAUCGAGAGGAACACCUGCGGCGAAGGCGGGUUGCUGGGCCGACACUGACGCUGAUGCGCGAAAGCCAGGGGAGCGAACGGG